GGUAGCUUGCUACCUGACCUAGCGGCGGACGGGUGAGUAAUGCUUAGGAAUCUGCCUAUUAGUGGGGGACAACAUUCCGAAAGGAAUGCUAAUACCGCAUACGCCCUACGGGGGAAAGCAGGGGAUCUUCGGACCUUGCGCUAAUAGAUGAGCCUAAGUCAGAUUAGCUAGUUGGUGGGGUAAAGGCCUACCAAGGCGACGAUCUGUAGCGGGUCUGAGAGGAUGAUCCGCCACACUGGGACUGAGACACGGCCCAGACUCCUACGGGAGGCAGCAGUGGGGAAUAUUGGACAAUGGGCGAAAGCCUGAUCCAGCCAUGCCGCGUGUGUGAAGAAGGCCUUUUGGUUGUAAAGCACUUUAAGCGAGGAGGAGGCUACUUAGAUUAAUACUCUAGGAUAGUGGACGUUACUCGCAGAAUAAGCACCGGCUAACUCUGUGCCAGCAGCCGCGGUAAUACAGAGGGUGCGAGCGUUAAUCGGAUUUACUGGGCGUAAAGCGUGCGUAGGCGGCUUCUUAAGUCGGAUGUGAAAUCCCUGAGCUUAACUUAGGAAUUGCAUUCGAUACUGGGAAGCUAGAGUAUGGGAGAGGAUGGUAGAAUUCCAGGUGUAGCGGUGAAAUGCGUAGAGAUCUGGAGGAAUACCGAUGGCGAAGGCAGCCAUCUGGCCUAAUACUGACGCUGAGGUACGAAAGCAUGGGGAGCAAACAGGAUUAGAUACCCUGGUAGUCCAUGCCGUAAACGAUGUCUACUAGCCGUUGGGGCCUUUGAGGCUUUAGUGGCGCAGCUAACGCGAUAAGUAGACCGCCUGGGGA
RNAcentral lists this ribosomal RNA (810 nucleotides) under Acinetobacter sp. EST11R2A. Its description in RNAcentral is "bacterial SSU rRNA". It matches the Rfam family "Bacterial small subunit ribosomal RNA", at positions 74 to 879 of the family's 1533-position model. Lineage: Bacteria; Pseudomonadati; Pseudomonadota; Gammaproteobacteria; Moraxellales; Moraxellaceae. The record is from RNAcentral.